Molecule: ribosomal RNA, 458 nt
Filed under: uncultured bacterium
Lineage: Bacteria
Description: partial 16S ribosomal RNA
Rfam family: Bacterial small subunit ribosomal RNA
Source: RNAcentral
GACGAACGCUGGCGGCGUGCUUCAUACAUGCAAGUCGAACGAGAAGCUGACUUCGGUCAGUGGAAAGUGGCGGACGGGUGAGUAAUAUGUAGGAAAUCUGCCUUUAGGAGGGGGACAACAGAGGGAAACUUCUGCUAAUACCCCAUAUGAGCGUAGCUGAAAUGCUAUUCUUGAAAACUCCGGUGCCUAAAGAUGAGCCUGCAUCUGAUUAGCUAGUUGGUAGUGUAAUGGACUACCAAGGCGACGAUCAGUAGCUGGUUUGAGAGGAUGAUCAGCCACAAUGGGACUGAGACACGGCCCAUACUCCUACGGGAGGCAGCAGUAGGAAAUUUUGCGCAAUGGGCGAAAGCCUGACGCAGCAACGCCGCGUGAACGAUUAAGCCCUUCGGGGUGUAAAGUUCUGUCAGUGGGGACGAAACUUGACGGUACCCACAGAGGAAGCACCGGCUAACUCCGUG